This 718-nucleotide ribosomal RNA is filed under the name uncultured bacterium. Its description in RNAcentral is "bacterial SSU rRNA". It matches the Rfam family "Bacterial small subunit ribosomal RNA", at positions 771 to 1501 of the family's 1533-position model. The record is from RNAcentral.
AACAGGAUUAGAUACCCUGGUAGUCCACGCCCUAAACGAUGAAUACUCGAUGUUGGCGAUAUACGGUCAGCGUCUAAGCGAAAGCGUUAAGUAUUCCACCUGGGGAGUACGCCCGCAAGGGUGAAACUCAAAGGAAUUGACGGGGGCCCGCACAAGCGGAGGAGCAUGUGGUUUAAUUCGAUGAUACGCGAGGAACCUUACCCGGGCUUGAAAGUUAGUGAAUGAUCCAGAGACGGAUCAGUCCUUCGGGACACGAAACUAGGUGCUGCAUGGCUGUCGUCAGCUCGUGCCGUGAGGUGUUGGGUUAAGUCCCGCAACGAGCGCAACCCCUGUGAAUAGUUGCCAGCAUGUAAUGGUGGGGACUCUAUUCAGACUGCCUAUGCAAAUAGAGAGGAAGGAGGGGACGACGUCAAGUCAUCAUGGCCCUUACGUCCGGGGCUACACACGUGCUACAAUGGAUGGUACAGCGGGCAGCUACCUGGUAACAGGAUGCCAAUCUCGUAAAGCCAUUCACAGUUCGGAUCGGGGUCUGCAACUCGACCCCGUGAAGUUGGAUUCGCUAGUAAUCGCGUAUCAGCAAUGACGCGGUGAAUACGUUCCCGGGCCUUGUACACACCGCCCGUCAAGCCAUGGAAGCUGGAAGUGCCUGAAGUGCGUAACCGCAAGGAGCGUCCUAGGGUAAAGUCGGUAACUGGGGCUAAGUCGUAACAAGGUAACC